RNAcentral lists this long non-coding RNA (1356 nucleotides) under Panax ginseng (ginseng). RNAcentral's name for it is "long non-coding RNA (PGIN_LNC006595)". Lineage: Eukaryota; Viridiplantae; Streptophyta; Magnoliopsida; Apiales; Araliaceae. The record is from RNAcentral.
AGGGCGGGCGUCGACACUGCGUAUGAAAAUCGUUGACGUCGUGAUUGGAGUGAGCAGCCUCCUCGACAUCGCUAGCCCGCUCGGGAGCGUCACCCUGUUAAUAUAAUAUAAUGUAACUCAUUAGUCCAUAUGAUACAAUUAAAGAAAUAACUAAAUGAAAAUUAAAUAACAUGCACAAUACUUGAAUUUAAAAUGAAUAGUAUACCUUAGCUGUUAAGGGCUAACUCAACAUCGCCCCAAAAGCGUCCAUGAUUAAAGUAACCACCAUCCGAACCAUCUCGUCGUGUAUUGCGGCGAACUGCUCCGGAAGGAUACCCGUACUCUCGGCAGUGGCACCAUCUGCAAUGUCUUGAGCAAGUUGAUGGAGGCAAGCACGGCUGGGCAGGUGAUGACGGAAUAAUGGAUCUGUACCAAAUCUGUCCGACACCGCCGCCAUAACCCUCUGGAACAUAACGUUGUCUAAGUCAGCACCCAUAUGUGAUGGUCUCACGGGUGCUCUUAGACACAGACGUUGGCUAAAACCUACAAAAAUAAAUAUAACAUGAAUAAUAUUAUAUUUCACUUUAUUCAUAAACGAGAAAUAUACUAAAAUAUUAUACCUCAAUGUAGAGUAUAAGUUGGUAUCCUCGGCAACCCCAUCACUCGAUACCGAUCGAUAGUACUACUAAGAGGAUCUUGAGACGCGAUCCAAAGAGUCAUCUCACAUUUAAAAAUAAAAGAUUUACUUGCUUAUAAAAUAAAGAGACGAUAUUUCAUUUUUGUUUAUACAUUUUGAACAGAAGAUUUGGUCUUAAUUAAAUUUAAGAUUAAGAUAUUUACAAUGUGCAUCAGAAUGAUAUCGUAGAUGGAGGGAGGGUCAACUUUAACUUCUAUUAUAUGUGUGAGUGGGAGUAUUUCUUGAUUGUACAAAUUAUAAAAAUGCUAGUUACUAGGCAUGUUGUCCCAUAUUCUCCGAUGAGUCCAGUGGUUGCGUUGUUUCUUGGGGUCCAGACCAACAAUGGGGUUAGUGAGAGAUAUAUUUUGUUGGUUAUGAUUUUGUAGGUAGUGCAUGAUAUUUUUGGUGAAGGCUUAGGAGCCAUAGGCAAAAUCCAAAGUAUCAAUAGAUAGAUAAAGAGGUAAAAAAGAAGGAAUGAAAGAGAAAAGGAAAGGAAAAGGGUGGGUUUGUGGAGGGAAAAGAAAUUGGGAUUCUCUAUAUUUUGUGAAUAAAAAGGAAUUGGACGGGAUUGGAAGAGAAUUUGGGUAUGCUUUUUUCAUCUAAGAGCUCGUUCGGCAACGACUUAAAUUAAAGUAUAAGUUGACUUCUAUAUUAUUUUAAGUUGGGACUUAUAAAUAAAUGCGUAUUAAUUUGACUUAUAA